Molecule: long non-coding RNA, 1121 nt
Organism: Passer domesticus (house sparrow)
Lineage: Eukaryota; Metazoa; Chordata; Aves; Passeriformes; Passeridae
Exons: 8
Source: RefSeq, a predicted model, not a curated record
UGGAUUGCCUUCAAUAAAUACUGAAGAGUUCAUCUUAAAAGACUGUGAUCUGAGUUCACCCUUGAUGAAACUGAGUUGGCUUUAGAGGAGUUGCACCAGGGAACAAUCUGUUCCAGAAUGUGUUUUUACCUGAACUGUGUCAUAGGGUGAUGUAAUGCUAUGGCUGCAGAGGACAACCACUGCAUGGAGAACAGGAAUAAAACUUGUUAUUAAACAGAAGUUAAUAUUUCGGGGGAAGGAUUAUCAAAGCUGCAGGGGAGUGAGGUUGGAUUAAGAAAGCUCAUCCCCAUACAGAAAUGUGUACGCAUCCAAUAGCUUUAGCAACAUGGUACUCUGCUGCUAUGGAUGAAGCAGGGCUGGAUCCCGUUUCACCUGGAGGAGAAUGUGUAUGAAGAUCAUUUGCCAGACAGAAUACAGCAGAGCUCCUGACGGCAGUUCGGUGAUGCUUCAAAGAGUAUUUUAACUGGUUCUUGUUGAGAACUCUUCAUUGUCCAUGAAUUAGCAACACUUUUGAGCGUUCACCACCCCUUCAUUUAAGAACUGGAAAUCACCUCUCUCUCUUGGCCAGUUUCAGAUAUUUCCUUCAGAAUUCAGUUUCUGGGAGUUUUAUAUUCUCUUGAUGACUUUGGAGUCUCAAGGUUAAAGGAGACCCUGUGAGUUAUGACAUUCCUUUUCAACUGUGGGCAUCUAUGAAUCCUCAGUACUCCCUUCCCCUUUAAGGUGGGACACCACAAGAACUCUGGAAGAUUUUUAUCUGGUGUUAUUACUGGAAUCAACAUUAAAAUGACAGCUUCUGCUGCAGUUGAGGGUAGCGAGACGAACGGGCAGCAGUGCAUGUUCUAAGGAGAAAAUUGACUCUUCAUUAUGAAGCAGAACACAUACUACAGUUAAGGAAGACUAAUUCUCAGCAUUUUGAAUCUUCCCUCGCUACCAAAAAAGAGAUCUGUUUUCAGCUGCCUCAUGCAAAAGUUCCAAGCACAGAAGUUUUUAACACAGGCCAGCUGUUUCUGAGGAAUGGAUACUGGUCUGUUCUCCUGUGGAAACCUCUAGAAGAAUGUUCACUGAGGUAUAAUGCAGCUAAGUACCUGGAUAUUAAUUAAGGAUUCAUAUAUAAGCUCAAG